CCUACGGGAGGCAGCAGUGGGGGAUAUUGCACAAUGGGGGGAACCCUGAUGCAGCGACGCCGCGUGGGUGAAGAAGCGCCUCGGCGCGUAAAGCCCUGUCAGCAGGGAAGAAAAUGACGGUACCUGAAGAAGAAGCCCCGGCUAACUACGUGCCAGCAGCCGCGGUAAUACGUAGGGGGCAAGCGUUAUCCGGAUUAACUGGGUGUAAAGGGGGCGCAGACGGCGAUGCAAGCCAGGAGUGAAAGCCGGGGGCCCAACCCCGGGACUGCUCUUGGAACUGCGUGGCUGGAGUGCAGGAGGGGCAGGCGGAAUUCCUGGUGUAGCGGUGAAAUGCGUAGAUAUCAGGAGGAACACCGGUGGCGAAGGCGGCCUGCUGGACUGCAACUGACGUUGAGGCCCGAAAGCGUGGGGAGCAAACAGGAUUAGAUACCCUGGUAGUC
Molecule: ribosomal RNA, 440 nt
Filed under: uncultured bacterium
Lineage: Bacteria
Description: partial 16S ribosomal RNA
Rfam family: Bacterial small subunit ribosomal RNA
Source: RNAcentral